GCAGCCUGAUGCGCCAUGCCGCGUGUGUGAAGAAGGCCUUCGGGUUGUAAAGCACUUUCAGUCGUGAGGAAGGUGGUGUAGUUAAUAGCUGUAUUAUUUGACGUUAGCGACAGAAGAAGCACCGGCUAACUCCGUGCCAGCAGCCGCGGUAAUACGGAGGGUGCGAGCGUUAAUCGGAAUUACUGGGCGUAAAGCGCAUGCAGGUGGUUUGUUAAGUCAGAUGUGAAAGCCCGGGGCUCAACCUCGGAAUAGCAUUUGAAACUGGCAGACUAGAGUACUGUAGAGGGGGGUAGAAUUUCAGGUGUAGCGGUGAAAUGCGUAGAGAUCUGAAGGAAUACCGGUGGCGAAGGCGGCCCCCUGGACAGAUACUGACACUCAGAUGCGAAAGCGUGGGGAGCAAACAGGAUUAGAUACCCUGGUAGUCCACGCCGUAAACGAUGUCUACUUGGAGGUUGUGGCCUUGAGCCGUGGCUUUCGGAGCUAACGCGUUAAGUAGACCGCCUGGGGAGUACGGUCGCAAGAUUAAAACUCAAAUGAAUUGACGGGGGCCCGCACAAGCGGUGGAGCAUGUGGUUUAAUUCGAUGCAACGCGAAGAACCUUACCUACUCUUGACAUCCAGAGAACUUUCCAGAGAUGGAUUGGUGCCUUCGGGAACUCUGAGACAGGUGCUGCAUGGCUGUCGUCAGCUCGUGUUGUGAAAUGUUGGGUUAAGUCCCGCAACGAGCGCAACCCUUAUCCUUGUUUGCCAGCGAGUAAUGUCGGGAACUCCAGGGAGACUGCCGGUGAUAAACCGGAGGAAGGUGGGGACGACGUCAAGUCAUCAUGGCCCUUACGAGUAGGGCUACACACGUGCUACAAUGGCGCAUACAGAGGGCGGCCAACUUGCGAUAGUGAGCGAAUCCCAAAAAGUGCGUCGUAGUCCGGAUUGGAGUCUGCAACUCGACUCCAUGAAGUCGGAAUCGCUAGUAAUCGUGGAUCAGAAUGCCACGGUGAAUACGUUCCCGGGCCUUGUACACACCGCCCGUCACACCAUGGGAGUGGGCUGCAAAAGAAGUAGGUAGUUAACCUUCGGGGGGACGCUUACCACUUUGUGGUUCAUGACUGGGGUGAAUCGAAA
RNAcentral lists this ribosomal RNA (1118 nucleotides) under Vibrio sp. 772M. RNAcentral's name for it is "bacterial SSU rRNA". It matches the Rfam family "Bacterial small subunit ribosomal RNA", at positions 378 to 1491 of the family's 1533-position model. Lineage: Bacteria; Pseudomonadati; Pseudomonadota; Gammaproteobacteria; Vibrionales; Vibrionaceae. The record is from RNAcentral.